This is a non-coding RNA of Amborella trichopoda, 1452 nucleotides long. The record is from RefSeq and is a predicted model, not a curated record. NCBI's taxonomy places the organism in Eukaryota, Viridiplantae, Streptophyta, Magnoliopsida, Amborellales, Amborellaceae.
AUGGAGCAAGCCUUCUGGUCAACAGCAGCAUGUGCCCUCUCUCUGCUACUCUAUGCCCUAGCGCUCAUGGUUCUCAUUAGGAAGCGCCAUUCUCACCUUCCUCCUGGCCCAAAGGGCCUCCCCAUGGUUGGGAGCCUCCACAGGCUAGGCAGCAGGGCACACGAGGCCCUUGCUGCACUUGCGGAGACCCAUGGCUCCCUCAUGACCUUGCAGCUUGGAUUUGUGACAACAAUUGUUGUUUCAUCAUCUGAGAUGGCCAAGGAGGUGUUACAGAAGAACAACCUUGCCUUUUCGGGGUGCACAGUCAUCGAAGUAAUGAAGAUUAAGUCUCACCAUAAUGGGUCCCUAGUGUGGGCUCAAAUUGGUCCUCGUUGGCAAGCCCUCCGCCGUCUCUGCAACACCCAACUCUUCACUCCCCAGCGGCUAGACACUUUGCGGGCUCUUCGCUACCAGAAGGUCCAUGAGAUGGUCGAGCUCAUACGACAGACUAAGCAGGUAGUUGACAUAGGGCGUGUUGCCUUCGUCAUAGCCCUGAAUUUAGUGUCGAACAUGAUCUUUUCGACUGAAAUGGUUAACCCCAAAUCAGGGUUAGCAUAGGAGUUCAAGGAUGUCGUUUGGUCGAUCAUGGAAGUAUCUGGUGCACCCAACCUUGCAGACUAUUUCCCGAUGCUCAGGGGCCUAGACCCCCAGGGCCUCAAGGGGCGUAGCAACAAACUCUUUGAAAGGUUCCACCAGCUUCUCAAUGUGAUGAUUGACGAACGUAUACAAUCCAGAGAGAAAGGUGGAGUGCCCAAGGGUGACUUCAUCGACGUUAUUCUUGACUCUAAACAGGAGAACGGUGUGGAGUUUAAGCUGGGAACCGAUACUAGCUCCACUAGUGUAGAGUGGGCAAUGGCUGAGCUCCUUCGCAACCCUGACAAGAUGGCCAUGGCUAAGAUGGAGCUCUCAAGGACUCUCGGUGGUCCACAACACAUUGUGGAAGAAUCGGACAUAUCUCGACUCCCUUACUUACAAGCUGUGGUGAAGAAGACAUGGCGGCUCCAUGCCCCCGUACCGCUUCUCAUCCCCCAUAGGGCUGAUACGACUGUAAAUGUGGCCGGAUACAUAGUGCCGAAAAAUGCACAAGUGCUGAUCAACUAUUGGGCCAUUGGAAGAGACCCUAAAGUGUGGGGCAAUCCGACAACCUUCUUGCCGAAAAGAUUCUUGGGUUCUAACGUGGAUUACAGGGGCAAGGAUUUCCAAUUUAUUCCGUUUGGGGCGGGGCGGAGGACAUGCCCUGGCCUUCCUUUUGGGGUUCACAUGGUCCACGUGAUGCUUACGUCUUUGUUGCAUUAUUUCGAUUGGGAGCUUCCUGAUGGAUUGAAAGCAGAGGAGAUGGAUAUGAGGGAUAAGUUUGGGGUCACCUUGCAAAAAUUGGUUCCACUUCGAUUGAUCCCUCGUCAAGGCUCGUGA